Molecule: long non-coding RNA, 564 nt
Organism: Mesocricetus auratus (golden hamster)
Lineage: Eukaryota; Metazoa; Chordata; Mammalia; Rodentia; Cricetidae
Exons: 4
Source: RefSeq, a predicted model, not a curated record
CGGUUCGGCAGCUGAAAACUGCUUGGCUCCUCUGGGUUUGGUAUCUUGCUCCAGAAACUGAGAAAGCAUCAACAGCAGAAAUCCCUGAAAACACACAUGAUGAGGAUUGUGCUUUCCUUAAGAUAAGCAUCUGUGGAGGUUUCAGGAGGCAAACGACUCUGAUGAAGGAUGAGCAAGACAACAAAUUGUUCUGCUUUCCUGGCUGAUUUGACAAAAUAUUCCCAGAGAAUGGCUGCUAGUGUUGGGGGCUGCUAUAAUCUAAAUCUGUUUGUCACUGAUUCGAGUUCGUGAAAUUAAGCUCUGCAACCCUGACUGCUUGAGACCCCCUCCCACCAGAAAUGUACAGCUGUGACCAUCUGUGUGAUAUUGUUAAUAUCAUGGAUCUGUACUCUCCUAUCCUUUGGAUUCUGACAGCAUACACUCUCAGUUCCUGCCAAUAAGAGAACCACCUGUGCAUAUUCACUAUGUUCCCAUUAAAAAGGUCCUGCCCACCUCUACUCCUCCUCUCUCUUUCUCUCCCUCUCUCUGUAUGUUUCCUGCAGUCUCCCUCUCUGUCUUUGUCUU